AUACGGAGGAUGCGAGCGUUAUCCGGAUUUAUUGGGUUUAAAGGGAGCGUAGGUGGGAUAUUAAGUCAGCUGUGAAAGUUUGGGGCUCAACCUUAAAAUUGCAGUUGAUACUGGUUUCCUUGAGUACGGUACAGGUGGGCGGAAUUCGUGGUGUAGCGGUGAAAUGCUUAGAUAUCUCGAAGAACUCCGAUUGCGAAGGCAGCUCACCGGGCCGGAACUGACACUGAUGCUCGAAAGUGCGGGUAUCAAACAGGAUUAGAUACCCUGGUAGUCCACACGGUAAACGAUGAAUACUCGCUGUUUGCGAUAUACGGCAAGCGGCCAAGCGAAAGCGUUAAGUAUUCCACCUGGGGAGUACGCCGGCAACGGUGAAACUUAAAGGAAUUGACGGGG
RNAcentral lists this ribosomal RNA (393 nucleotides) under uncultured bacterium. Its description in RNAcentral is "partial 16S ribosomal RNA". It matches the Rfam family "Bacterial small subunit ribosomal RNA", at positions 523 to 918 of the family's 1533-position model. The record is from RNAcentral.